AAUUUUAUCAUUUUUCAUUGGCAGGGCAUGUAGUAUUUAUAUUGUCACCCAAUUUCCCAUCUCUGUUCUUGAAUUGGUUCUACAGUUAAAAUACAUUCCCUGAUGACUAGACACUACACCUGGGUGGCUAAAGUGAUGGGAAAAUUAUUCUCUGAGAUUGUUGUUAUGGGCUGAGUUGUGUUCCCCAAAAGUCAUAUACUGAAGUCACAAUCUCUAUACUUCCAAAUGUAACUAUAUUUGGAGAUAAAGACUUUAAAGGAAUGAUUAAGUUAAAAUGAGGCCUUUAGGAGUUCCUACUGUGGCACAAUGGGUUAAUGAUCCACUUGUCUCUGUGGAGGCACUGGUUUGAUCCCUGGCCCAGAUCUGGCCUUGCUGCAGCUGUGGUGUAGGUUGCAGCUCCCGCUUGGAUUUGAUCCCUGGCCUGGGAACUUCCAUAUGCCUCGUGGUUGGUCAAAAAAGAAAAAGGCCAUUAUUGUGAGGCUCUAAUUUAACUGGGCGGCUAGCUGCAAGCCAAGGAAAGAAGCCAGUUGCAAGCCAAGGAACCUCAAGGGAAAACAGCCUUCCGGCACCUGGAUCUCUAGCUUGUAACCCCCAGAACUGUGAGAAAAUAAAUUUCCAUUGUUUAAGCCACCUUUUUAUGUACAUUUUUGCUAUGGUGGCACUAGCAAACUAAUACAAUCAUGUAAGUUCAAAACUUUUUGUUUGCAGCCUUCACGCCUGAAGGACAGUUGGCUGGAUAUAAAACCAUGGCUCAUUCUUCUUUCUUUUCUUGGAUAAUUUGCUGGCAUUGCUCCAUUGCCUCUUGGUGUGAAUGUGUGCUGCACAGAAAUCUGAAGCUAGCCCGAUAUGUUCCUCCUCCUUCGUCCUUCUUCAUGACUUGAUUCUUUUGACUGGCUUCCCAAAAGGAUUCUUUUUUUUUUUUUAAAAGAAUUAUCUUUUUUUAAUGCCAAUAUUUGAUACAUACAUACCAAAGGGAGAAAAAUAUAUAGUGUGUGUGUAUAUUAUAUGUAAUUAUAUAACAUAAACACUUACGGUGUAAAGCAUAAAAUAAUGACUAUCACAGAAACCACCACUCUAAGACAGGAUGAACCUGUAUGUCCUUACACCAUCCUCUUGCCUUUUCUCCAGAGGCACACCCUAUCCCAACUGUUGUGUUUAUUAUCCCACUGUUGGGUUUUUUUUUUUUUUUUUUUGGUCUUUUCUAGGGCCACACUUGCAGCACAUGGAGGUCCCCAGGCUAGGGAAGAAUCUGAUGGUAUAUUUCUCAAAAGUGUGGUAGAAUUCACCAGCAAAAUCAAUGGAGUUUGUUUUAUUUUUUGUGAGAAGAUUUUUGUUUGUUUGUUUUUUUGCUAUGCCCAUGGCAUGCAGAAGUUCCCAGGCCAGGGAUUGUACCCUAUGCCACAGCAGUGGCCCAAACCACAGCAGUGACAGCUCUGGAUUCUUAACCUGCUGAGUUGGCAGCGAACUCCAUGAAAAGAUUUUUUUAAACCGAUUGCUUCAAUCUAUUUCGGAGUUGUAAGACCCAAAUCAGUUGGAUAAAUUACCUUUUCCCUAGAAAUUUGUGUUCUUUAUCUGAUUUCAAAUUUAUUGGCAUAAAGUUGUUACCUGUAUCCUUAUUUCUUUAGUCU
Molecule: long non-coding RNA, 1628 nt
Filed under: Sus scrofa (pig)
Lineage: Eukaryota; Metazoa; Chordata; Mammalia; Artiodactyla; Suidae
Description: lncRNA (ENSSSCG00060008383.1)
Source: RNAcentral